RNAcentral lists this transfer RNA (73 nucleotides) under Stegodyphus mimosarum. It matches the Rfam family "tRNA". Rfam says of the family: Transfer RNA (tRNA) molecules are approximately 80 nucleotides in length. Their secondary structure includes four short double-helical elements and three loops (D, anti-codon, and T loops). Lineage: Eukaryota; Metazoa; Arthropoda; Arachnida; Araneae; Eresidae. The record is from Rfam by way of RNAcentral.
GCCUUCGUAGUGUAAUUGGUAGCAUGUCCGACUGGCAGUCGGAAAAUCCAGAGUUCGAAUCCUGGAGAAGGCG